Molecule: unclassified non-coding RNA, 240 nt
Filed under: uncultured fungus
Lineage: Eukaryota; Fungi
Description: sequence contains ITS1, 5.8S rRNA gene
Source: RNAcentral
UUUCCGUUGGUGAACCAGCGGAAGGAUCAUUACAGAGAUCAUGCCCUCACGGGUAGACCUCCCACCCUGUGUUAUUUACGAUUGUUGCUUUGGCAGGCCGCCUUCGUGCGCUCGGCUUCGGCUGAGGUGCGCCUGCCAGAGGACCCCCAACUCUGUGUUUAGUGUUGUCUGAGUCUUAUUUAAUACGUUAAAACUUUCAAAAACGGAUCUCUUGGUUCUGGAAUAGAUGAAGAAAGCAGC